UACAGAGGGUGCGAGCGUUGUCCGGAAUCACUGGGCGUAAAGGGCGCGUAGGCGGCUUGGCAAGUCAGUGGUGAAAUCCCAGAGCUUAACUCCGGAAUUGCCUCUGAGACUGCUUGGCUUCGAGUACGGGAGAGGUGAGUGGAAUUCCCAGUGUAGAGGUGAAAUUCGUAGAUAUUGGGAAGAACACCGGUGGCGAAGGCGGCUCACUGGCCCGUUACUGACGCUCAGGCGCGACAGCGUGGGGAUCAAACAGG
RNAcentral lists this ribosomal RNA (254 nucleotides) under uncultured bacterium. RNAcentral's name for it is "partial 16S ribosomal RNA". It matches the Rfam family "Bacterial small subunit ribosomal RNA", at positions 524 to 776 of the family's 1533-position model. The record is from RNAcentral.